This is a long non-coding RNA of Mastomys coucha (southern multimammate mouse), 273 nucleotides long. RefSeq lists it as uncharacterized. The transcript has 3 exons. Lineage: Eukaryota; Metazoa; Chordata; Mammalia; Rodentia; Muridae. The record is from RefSeq and is a predicted model, not a curated record.
AUGAAGUGUGACUGGUACAGAAGCUCAACGAUUCUGAAACAUCUGUGUAUCUAAAAGGAGACCGCUUUCUUGGCACUGAUACCCCUGUUAAAACAGAUUCAUUUACGAAAUGUUUACCGAGCAACUAAGCAUGUGCAGUGACACUCAAAUCUGUGAAGACUUCUCCAACCAAACAUACAAAAGAAAUAGAAGGUUUCUCUGCAGCCCUGAGUGGCCCUGACCUCAGAGAUCCACCUGUCUUUGCUUCCAAAGUGCUAGGAUUAAAGGUGUGUA